GGCGCUGUAGUGUAGCGGUUAUCACUCGAGAUUCUGAUUCCAUUUGAUUUCUCGAAACCCAGGUUCGAUUCCUGGCAGUGCCU
Termitomyces sp. T32_za158 is the source of this 83-nucleotide non-coding RNA. The record is from the annotation of a GenBank genome assembly. Lineage: Eukaryota; Fungi; Basidiomycota; Agaricomycetes; Agaricales; Lyophyllaceae.